This 268-nucleotide ribosomal RNA is filed under the name uncultured bacterium. RNAcentral's name for it is "partial 16S ribosomal RNA". It matches the Rfam family "Bacterial small subunit ribosomal RNA", at positions 355 to 639 of the family's 1533-position model. The record is from RNAcentral.
UAGGGAAUAUUGCACAAUGAGCGAAAGCUUGAUGCAGCAACGCCGCGUGCGCGAUGACGGCCUUCGGGUUGUAAAGCGCUUUUCGGGGAGAUGAGGAAGGACAGUAUCCCCGGAAUAAGUCUCGGCUAACUACGUGCCAGCAGCCGCGGUAACACGUAGGAGGCAAGCGUUAUCCGAAUUUACUGGGCGUAAAGCGCGUGCAGGCGGUUCGGUAAGUUGGAUGUGAAAUCUCCCGGCUCAACUGGGAGGGGACGUUCAAUACUGUCGG